RNAcentral lists this ribosomal RNA (453 nucleotides) under uncultured Streptococcus sp. RNAcentral's name for it is "bacterial SSU rRNA". It matches the Rfam family "Bacterial small subunit ribosomal RNA", at positions 933 to 1382 of the family's 1533-position model. The record is from RNAcentral. Lineage: Bacteria; Bacillati; Bacillota; Bacilli; Lactobacillales; Streptococcaceae.
UGGAGCAUGUGGUUUAAUUCGAAGCAACGCGAAGAACCUUACCAGGUCUUGACAUCCCCUGACAACCCGAGAGAUCGGGCGUUCCCCUUCGGGGGGACAGGGUGACAGGUGGUGCAUGGCUGUCGUCAGCUCGUGUCGUGAGAUGUUGGGUCAAGUCCCGCAACGAGCGCAACCCUUAUCUUUAGUUGCCAUCAUUCAGUUGGGCACUCUAGCGAGACUGCCGGUAAUAAACCGGAGGAAGGUGGGGAUGACGUCAAAUCAUCAUGCCCCUUAUGACCUGGGCUACACACGUGCUACAAUGGUUGGUACAACGAGUUGCGAGUCGGUGACGGCGAGCUAAUCUCUUAAAGCCAAUCUCAGUUCGGAUUGUAGGCUGCAACUCGCCUACAUGAAGUCGGAAUCGCUAGUAAUCGCGGAUCAGCACGCCCGCGGUCGAAUACGUUCCCGGGCCUU